This 266-nucleotide ribosomal RNA is filed under the name uncultured bacterium. RNAcentral describes it as "partial 16S ribosomal RNA". It matches the Rfam family "Bacterial small subunit ribosomal RNA", at positions 793 to 1055 of the family's 1533-position model. The record is from RNAcentral.
GUCCUGGCCGUAAACGAUGGAUACUAGGUGUCGGGGGUAUCGACCCCUCCGGUGCCGCAGCUAACGCACUAAGUAUCCCGCCUGGGGAGUACGGCCGCAAGGUUGAAACUCAAAGGAAUUGACGGGGGCCCGCACAAGCGGUGGAGCAUGUUGUUUAAUACGUCACUAACCGUAGAACCUUACCAGGGCUUGACAUCCGUCGACAGCGUGUGAAAGCGCGUUUUCUCCGCAAGGAGACGGCGAGACAGGUGUUGCAUGGCUGUCGU